CUACGGGGUGCACCAGUGGGGAAUAUUGCACAAUGGACGAAAGUCUGAUGCAGCAACGCCGCGUGGAGGAUGACACAUUUCGGUGCGUAAACUCCUUUUAUAUAAGAAGAUAAUGACGGUAUUAUAUGAAUAAGCACCGGCUAACUCCGUGCCAGCAGCCGCGGUAAUACGGGGGGUGCAAGCGUUACUCGGAAUCACUGGGCGUAAAGCGCAUGUAGGCGGACUUGUAAGUUGGAAGUGAAAUCCUAUGGCUCAACCAUAGAACUGCUUCCAAAACCGCUUGUCUAGAAUAUGGGAGAGGUAGAUGGAAUUUCUGGUGUAGGGGUAAAAUCCGUAGAGAUCAGAAGGAAUACCGAUUGCGAAGGCGAUCUACUGGAACAUUAUUGACGCUCAGAUGCGAAAGCGUGGGGAGCAAACAGGAUUAGAUACCCGCGUAGUC
Molecule: ribosomal RNA, 439 nt
Filed under: uncultured bacterium
Lineage: Bacteria
Description: partial 16S ribosomal RNA
Rfam family: Bacterial small subunit ribosomal RNA
Source: RNAcentral